Molecule: ribosomal RNA, 929 nt
Filed under: Caloglossa ogasawaraensis
Lineage: Eukaryota; Rhodophyta; Florideophyceae; Ceramiales; Delesseriaceae
Description: LSU rRNA
Rfam family: Eukaryotic large subunit ribosomal RNA
Source: RNAcentral
GUCGGAAUCCGCUAAGGAGUGUGUAACAACUCACCUGCCGAAUGAAUUAGCCCUGAAAAUGGAUGGCGCUGAAGCGGGCAGCCGAUACCACGCCGUCUGGGCAACUUUUGUUCCCAGAUGAGUAGGAGGACGUGGCGGUUGUACAGAAGCGUGCCCGCGAGGGUGCGUGGAACGGCCGCCAGUGCAGAUCUUGGUGUUAGUAGCAAAUAUUCAAUUGAAAACCUUGAAGGGCGAAGCGGGGAAGGGUUCCACGCGUACAUUGAUUGGGUGUGGGUGAGUCGUUCCUAAGCCGCGUGGCAAUAGCUGCAUAUCGGCGAAAGGGAAGCAGGUUGACAUUCCUGCACACGGAUGUGGAUGCGGUGACGCACUUCUGGGGCAGUGAAGCUGGCUUUGGCACUGGGCAGAGAUAUCUUUUCUGUUUAACCGUUAUCGAACGUACUGUGUGGAAUCCGCUUGUCGGGAGAAACACGUGCGGUCGGGCAUAGCGCCGGGAUUUUUCCGGCGUCCAGUUCGCCGGGGACGGACCUUGAAAAACUGCUUGCUGGCACAAUUCCUUGUGAGUUGUGUAUGAAGAAUCCACGCCGUAACGUACCGAUAACCGCAUCAGGUCCCCAAGGUGAACAGCCUCUGCUCGAUAUGAUCAAUGCAGGUAAGGGAAGUCGGCAAAUCAGACCCGUAACUUUGGGAAAAGGGUUGGCUCUAGUGCUGCGUGGGAUUGGUUGUUGUGGUGUUUUUGUUGAUCCUGUCAGCGUCGCUGCGGAGUGGGCAACCCCUCGGGGAGGCUCGCACUGUGGAGGUGUAGACGGUGAACGAUGAGGCCUGCGACGACGCCCACAGCAUGCAGCAAACUAGAACUGCAACGGGCAAAGGGAAUCCGACUGUUUAAUUAAAACAAAGCAUUGCGAGGGCCGUGGCCGGUGUUGACGCAA